This 511-nucleotide ribosomal RNA is filed under the name uncultured bacterium. RNAcentral's name for it is "bacterial SSU rRNA". It matches the Rfam family "Bacterial small subunit ribosomal RNA", at positions 34 to 518 of the family's 1533-position model. The record is from RNAcentral.
CGCUGGCGGCGUGCCUAAUACAUGCAAGUCGAACGGUCUUUCUAUGAAAGCUUGCUUCCACUGAGAAGAUAGUGGCGAACGGGUGAGUAACACGUGGGUAACCUGCCCAUAAGAGGGGGAUAACAUCCGGAAACGGGUGCUAAUACCGCAUAGUUUUCUUGAUUGCAUGAUCGGGAAAGGAAAGACGGCCUUUGUGCUGUCGCUUAUGGAUGGACCCGCGGCGUAUUAGUUAGUUGGUGAGGUAACGGCUCACCAAGACGAUGAUACGUAGCCGACCUGAGAGGGUGAUCGGCCACAUUGGGACUGAGACACGGCCCAAACUCCUACGGGAGGCAGCAGUAGGGAAUCUUCCGCAAUGGACGAAAGUCUGACGGAGCAACGCCGCGUGAGUGAAGAAAGGUUUUCGGAUCGUAAAACUCUGUUGUCAGAGAAGAACAAGUUGGAGAGUAACUGCUCCAGCCUUGACGGUAUCUGACCAGAAAGCCACGGCUAACUACGUGCCAGCCGCCGC